This 1675-nucleotide small RNA is filed under the name Pan troglodytes (chimpanzee). RNAcentral describes it as "retained intron". Lineage: Eukaryota; Metazoa; Chordata; Mammalia; Primates; Hominidae. The record is from RNAcentral.
CCUGCACCGCACACUCCACAACAUGAUGAAGAAGCUCUUCCUGCAGUGAGUGCUCCUCCUCCCUGGGCUGUCCACCACGUCCUCAGCUGGGCUGGUCCCUUACUCCCCAGAACCAGAGACAUGGCCAGCCAGUGCCUCUGGGAUAAGUAGUGUAUUUCUGAGUUUGUGGAGCAUAACAAUCCAAAGGAUCCCAGAGAAACACGCAGCUGCUGCUGCAGCGUCGCCUGCACAUCCUGCAGAGAACACUAGGUGGCACCUCCUCUCCUGCCCCUUUCCUGCACAAAGUCAUGCUACACAUUGUAUUGCUGUGUGCCUUGUUGUUUUAGUGAAAAUAUGCCUGUGUCAGGAGAUCUGUGUGAGGACAUGCCAUAUGAAAGAACAUUUAGCCUCUCUCCAGCCUUGUGCCGUCGUUACAAAUAGCAAAUCAGUGAGAGGCUUCGUGCGUGAGCUCAUGCAGAUAGAUCCGUGGGGUAACUUCUGGGGCAUAGCCCUCUUGCAGGCCUCAGAGGUGUUGUAACUCGGGAUGAAUCCUGAUUUGAUGGACUUCACCAGAGCGGCCCCACAGAGGCCCCUUGUGGACACUUCUUCCCUGGCCGCGCCUCACCAACAUGGCCGGGGAUUAUUACCCAACUGCUGGGCUAAAAGUGCUUCUCGGUGCAGUCUUAACUUAGGAUUCUUACAAUGAAUGAAGUCGAAUUUUCUCUUCUAGUCCUUUGUCUAUUUUUCUGUAGUUUUGGUGGUUCUUCUCUUAUUAAGUAUCGAAUGAGCUGUCUCCAUACAAAAAGUUGCCACUUUUCUGUGAUAAGAAUUUGCUAAUUUUUUCCUGUUUUUGGUUAUCUUUUGCCUUUGUUUGUGGUGGAUUUUUGCCAUGCAGAAAUCUUUGCUCUUCAUUAGCUUCUGGGUUCUAGUGUAUCUCGGAGGCUUUUCUGCUUCAGGACCCUCAGCUCUUUUCCCUCGUGGAUUUUCUGGGUGCCCUCUGGCUCUCCACAACCGUGGCGUCUCCACCACGGACUCUCAACUUGCUCCACAGGCUCAUCGCUGAGUUCAAGCGCCUGGGGUCAUCAGUCAUCUACGCCAACUUCAACCGCAUCAUCCUCUGUACAAAGAAGCGCCGUGUGGAAGAUGCCAUCGCUUACGUGGAGUACAUCACCAGCAGCAUCCAUUCGAAGGAGAUCUUCCAUUCUUUGACGAUUUCUUUCUCUCGAUGCUGGGAAUUUCUUCUCUGGAUGGAUCCAUCUAACUAUGGCGGAAUCAAAGGAAAAGUUUCAUCUCGUAUUCACUGCGGACUGCAAGACUCCCAGAAAGCAGGGGGAGCAGAGGAUGAGCAGGAAAAUGAGGACGAUGAGGAGGAAAGAGAUGGGGAGGAGGAGGAAGAGGCGGAGGAAUCCAACGUGGAGGAUUUACUGGAAAACAACUGGAACAUUUUGCAGUUUUUGCCACAGGCAGCCUCCUGCCAGAACUACUUCCUCAUGAUUGUUUCAGCGUACAUCGUGGCCGUGUACCACUGUAUGAAGGACGGGCUGAGGCGCAGUGCUCCAGGGAGCACCCCCGUGAGGAGGAGGGGGGCCAGCCAGCUCUCCCAGGAGGCCGAGGGGGCGGUCGGAGCCCUUCCCGGAAUGAUCACCUUCUCUCAGGAUUAUGUCGCAAAUGAACUCACUCAGAGCUUCUUCACCAU